Molecule: ribosomal RNA, 303 nt
Filed under: uncultured bacterium
Lineage: Bacteria
Description: partial 16S ribosomal RNA
Rfam family: Bacterial small subunit ribosomal RNA
Source: RNAcentral
AGCAGUAGCCACGGUAAAACGUAGGGUGCGAGCGUUAAUCGGAAUUACUGGGCGUAAAGCGUGCGUAGGUGGUGGUUUAAGUCCGUUGUGAAAGCCCUGGGCUCAACCUGGGAAUUGCAGUGGAUACUGGGUCACUAGAGUGUGGUAGAGGAUAGUGGAAUUUCCGGUGUAGCAGUGAAAUGCGUAGAGAUCGGAAGGAACAUCUGUGGCGAAGGCGACUAUCUGGGCCAACACUGACACUGAGGCACGAAAGCGUGGGGAGUAAACAGGAUUAGAUACCCGAGUAGUCCCUGUCUCUUAUAC